This 299-nucleotide signal recognition particle RNA is filed under the name Microcebus murinus (gray mouse lemur). RNAcentral describes it as "Metazoan signal recognition particle RNA (ENSMICG00000048099.1)". It matches the Rfam family "Metazoan signal recognition particle RNA". From Rfam's summary of the family: The signal recognition particle (SRP) is a universally conserved ribonucleoprotein. It is involved in the co-translational targeting of proteins to membranes. The record is from RNAcentral. Lineage: Eukaryota; Metazoa; Chordata; Mammalia; Primates; Cheirogaleidae.
GCCGGACGCGGUGGCGCGCGCCUGUAGUCCCAGCUACUCGGGAGGCUGAGAUGGGAGGAUCGCUUGAGCCCAGGAGUUCUGGGCUGUAGUGCGCUAUGCCGAUCGGGUGUCCGCACUAAGUUCGGCAUCAAUAUGGUGACCUCCCGGGAGCGGGGGACCACCAGGUUGCCUAAGGAGGGGUGAACCGGCCCAGGUCGGAAACGGAGCAGGUCAAAACUCCCGUGCUGAUCAGUAGUGGGAUCGCGCCUGUGAAUAGCCACUGCACUCCAGCCUGGGCAACAUAGUGAGACCCCGUCUCU